Molecule: ribosomal RNA, 615 nt
Filed under: Triticum aestivum (bread wheat)
Lineage: Eukaryota; Viridiplantae; Streptophyta; Magnoliopsida; Poales; Poaceae
Description: partial small subunit ribosomal RNA
Source: RNAcentral
AUGGAUCAGGAGCUGAUCGAGCACCUUGAGGCCAAAGUGAGUGCUGACAGCGCGAGAUCUCACCCUCUCAUCGAUUUGUUCAUACCAACCAUCGACAGCGAGCACGGCAUAUGCUACACCCAUCCUGAGAAAUUUCCAGGUAUCACACUGAGUGGCCUAAGCAAGCAUUUCUUCCAGCGCAAUUCCAGGGCGUUCAAAAGGGGCACGUGGACGCAUCGCAAGAUACAGUCGGAGUGCGGCAUGCACGCGAUGUGGCACAACACUGGCAAUACCUUGCCGGUGAUGGCCAACGGCCGGCAGACGGGCAGCAAAAAGGUUCUGGUGCUGCACACCAACAAGAACUUCGACCAGCAAAGGACCAACUGGGUGAUGCACCAGUACCACCUCGGGGACCUGGAGCAAGAGAAGGAGCGGGAGCUGGUCCUCUGCAAGAUUUUCUACCAGACGAACACUAGGGCAAGGAGUAAAAAGAUUAUUAGUUUGGUAUUGGUACUUGAACUACCUUGUCGUCCGCAAGUUGGUAUUGUUGUUAACGAUCUUUUGACCCAGCCCAUGGCGACAACGGGGCACAAAGAUCCAGCAAGUAUCUACUGGCAUCUGGCCCGCCAACGUUAG